ACAAAAGUCACGGGACUCAGACAGAGAGGAGACACGGAGCACGGAGCUAGUGGCAGAAAUUAGCUAAAACGUGAUAAAUUAUAGACAACAAGUGGAUAAAUCUUGGGUGUAACAGUUUGCAACAACCCCAAGUUCCAGGCUGGAUACAAAGUCACCUGUAGAGACUAGAAAGACCCCAAAGAGACUGCCGAGACCGUUAGCUUGUUAGCUGUUAGCUCCAACAAUCGGUCUAAAGGAGCUACUAUAGGAGGAUGUACUUGUUGAGCAGGAGGAACACAGAGGGGGGACAACAUGCAGCAAAGGGCCAUUUUUUGGACUUGAACCCUGGCCUCUGCGAUAAGGACUGGGACUAUAUGGAGCGCACGCUCAACCAGCUCUAUUGUGUCUCUGAGGAUCAAGCGUGGAGCAUGAGCGGGAAGCAGCACCACCAAACCAACUCCCAGAUGCACCACAGAGCAGCGUCUGAUAUUGCAAUGUGAAUUCCAAACAGCAUCUCACUCCAGCACUAAUGAAAAGCAAUAUGGAUUCACUAAAGGGGGCGCAGAGCUUAUCAUCAGCACAGGAUAUAUCCUAGAACCUAUCAGGUCACAAGUAUGCGGGAAAAUGCUAAUGCUCUUUAUGUCCAUUACCACCGCCUUGACCAGUUUGAUUGCAGGACCUGAUGAAUCCACCAGUCCAUUCAUUCACAUACGAGCGGCUUCCCGUCAUUGUGUCUGACAGGCAGAUGACAUCAGCAUGUCCUCGGGCACCACAGGGGAUGCGACAUUGCUUCCUCUUCAAGCAAAAUAAAGGAGGCCUUUGAUGGUAUCAUCUUGGAGACGCAGCCCCCCCCCACCACCACCACACUGUCACUGUCAUAGACAGGAGACUUUCAUUUCCCAGUAAUUGAGUUUCUGUCUCGCUCUUUGUGUUCAGAUGAAGAUCUGAUGAAGUCCCCCCUCCACAGAACCCCAUUUCCCCCCUUCUCCGUAUAGAAUACCACCAUCACCCCCCAAAAACGUGUUUGUGUCUACGUAUUUCCCAGU
Molecule: long non-coding RNA, 1025 nt
Organism: Etheostoma spectabile (orangethroat darter)
Lineage: Eukaryota; Metazoa; Chordata; Actinopteri; Perciformes; Percidae
Exons: 4
Source: RefSeq, a predicted model, not a curated record